RNAcentral lists this ribosomal RNA (783 nucleotides) under uncultured bacterium. Its description in RNAcentral is "bacterial SSU rRNA". It matches the Rfam family "Bacterial small subunit ribosomal RNA", at positions 9 to 795 of the family's 1533-position model. The record is from RNAcentral.
GAGUUUGAUCCUGGCUCAGGACGAACGCUGGCGGCGUGCUUAACACAUGCGAGUCGAACGAUGAUGUCCAGUUUGCUGGGUGGAAAAGGGGCGAACGGGUGAGAAACACGUGAGAAACCUGCCCCUGACUCUGGGAAAACCGUUGGAAACGACUUCAAAUACGGGAAAUGACCGCCGAUCGCAUGGUCUGGUGGUGGAAAAAUUUUUUUGGUUUCGGGAUGGACCCGCGGCCUAUCACCUUUUUUGGUGAGGUAAUGGCUCACCAAGGCAACAACGGGUACCCGGCCUGAGAGGGUGACCGGCCACACUGGGACUGAAAACACGGCCCAAACUCCUACGGGAGGCAGCAGUGGGGGAAAUAUUGCACAAUGGGGCGCAAGCCUGGAUGCACCGACGCCGCGUGAGGGAAAAGGGCCUUCGGGGUUGUAAACCUUUUUCAGUAGGGAAGAAGGGAAAAGGACGGGACCUGCAGAAGAAGCGCCGGCUAAAUACGUGCCAGCAGCCGCGGUAAUAAGUAGGGGGCAAGCGUUAUCCGGAUUCAUUGGGGGUAAAGGGCGUGUAGGCGGUUCAAUAGGUUCGAUGUGAAAACUCGAGGCUCAACUUCGAGAGGCCAUCGGAAACCAUUGGACUAGAGUCCGGAAGAGGAGAGUGGAAUUCCUGGGGUAGCGGUGAAAUGCGCAGAUAUCAGGAAGAACACCGAUGGCGAAGGCAGCUUUUUGGGACGGUACUGACGCUAAGACGCGAAAGCGUGGGGAGCGAACAGGAUUAGAUACCCUGGUAGUC